AUUUUUUCACCUUUUGAGCCAUGUGUUUUCCACGUAAAAAUCUUUGUGUUCUUUAUUUUAUGUACUUAUUAUUCCGCAAACAGUAGUAGUUAGAACAUUUAGAAGAACCAGGUUCUUGUAGAGCGAAAAUUGGGUACCACACAAAUCACACACCUCCCCCCCCCCUCUUGUGUGGUAUUGACGAUUAGAACAUCAUAUAGAAUCUGGGCAAGGACUCCUGAAGACCUAGAAUCACAAUGGGCACAGCUGGUGCUGCUGGAUCGUCCACAACUAGGACCUGAUCAUGAACUGGGGCGGCUGGUGGAUCUGCAGGUGCUGCCCUAGCUACUGUGCGGGCUACACCCUUGCCCCUAUCAUGACCUCGACCCCGUCCUCGCCCUCUAGUGGCCCCAGCUAGUGGUUCUGGUGGUUGUCCAUCCUGACCGGUAGCACAUUUCCUCACCAUCUGUGAGAGAAUAGAAUAACAGAAGUUUAGUACUCAGAUCAACAGAUUUGCACGACAAGAAUUCAAGAAUAUGAAGUAUUUCCUAAAGGUUCUGCAACCUUCCGAGGAUAAAUACCGGCAUCUACGUACUGAUCCGCGAGACUCUACUAAACCUGCUCAUGACUCGUGAGACUUAUGUAACCUAGGCUCUAAUACCAACUUGUCACGACCCUAAAAUAGACCCAAUUGUGAUGGUGCCUAUCGUGAAACUAGGCCAGCCGACACAAACCCCCAAACCAACUAGACAGUUAUAAUAAGUCACUUAAAGUCAGCAAUGAGCUAAAAAUCCCAAAAUAUAGAGUAAAAUAAAAUAGUGCGGAAACAAACACAGCCCGACAUCGGGGUGUCACCAAUCAGGAGCAUCUACAGUUCGUCUAAGAGUAUGAAAAGACAACAUAGUCUGAUACAAAGCUAUUACAAAGUGAAAUAAAGAUAGGAAGGAGAAGCACUAGGCUGCGAACGCCGAGUAGCUAGCUAGUCAACUCCAAACAAGCCUGCUAGAAAGUAAAUCAGCACUUGCUAGCAUGACCCGAGACUCCUAGAUCUACACACAGGGUGUAGGGAGUAAUGUGAGUACGCCAACUCAGCAAGUACUAAAAGUAAAGGUAGCUGAGCAGUAAGAAAAUACGUAAAACACAGCAUAAUGCUACAACAAGACAGUAUAAAACCAGGAUAAUGCAGUAAAGCGGUAACGUAAAAACAUCUCAGUUCAGUAAAAACCUUUUCAAAACAUCUUUCCGUAGUUCAAACGAGUGAUGAAAUCAGCAAGAAAAGGGUAGAGACAUAAAUAAGCCCCUCAGGCAAAACAAGUACCACAACCGCCCCUAGGGCAAAUUACCAACAAAACCAGCCCCCUGGGCUACCUCACAAUUACUCGUAUCAGCUGCUCGGGCAAUAACAUGAAACAACAACAGUCCCUCGGGCAAUAACACAUCUCACACUGGGUACCCGCGCUCACUGGGGGUGUGAAGACUCUGGAGGGGCUCCUACAGCCCAAGCGCUAUAUCAAGCUAUCUCGUGGCAUAAUCAAACUGGCCCUUGGCCUCAUAACAUGCUGCCUCGUGACGUAACAAAUCAGGCCCUCGGCUCAUAAUCAUGAAUUAGUGCAACACUGCUACGGUACGCAACCCGAUCUCAUAAUAUCCUCACAACACAAGCCCUCAGCCUCACUUAGCCAGAAAUCUCUCAAGCCACUCGGGUACAGUAAAACAUGAUGCUCAGCCCAAAAUAUCAUUUAAAAAUGUCAAAACGGAGUAAAUAUGGCUGAGUUAUGAAAACAGUAGAAUACAACAUGACUGAGUACAAAUAUGAAGUCAAAGUAAUGAGGAAUAGUAGUAAAAAUCCCCUAAGGGUCCCAACAUAGUUGACACGAGGCCCAAAUAUGGCAUUCAGCCCAAAACAUGAUGAUACUUUCCAAAAACAAUGAUAUCAAACAGUUUUCAUCAAAUACGCGGUUUAACAGUCAUAUGAGACGGACUAAGUCACAAUCCCCAACGGUGCACGACCCCAUGCUCGUCAUCUAGCGUGUGCAUCACCUUAAAGUAGCACAACGAUGUGAAAUCUAGGAUUUCAUACCCUCUUGACACCAUUUACAAUCAUUACUUACCUCUAUCCGGUCCAAACUCUAGCCCGUGAUGCAUUUGCCUCUCGAAUCGGCCCCCGGAUGCACCAAAUCUAACCAAAAACAGAUUUAUACCAUCAAAAUAUGCUAAGGAAACAAAGCUCACUUGAAAAUAAUUAAUUUACAUAAAUAAAUGCCGAAAUUGGCCAAACCCGACCCCCGGGCCCACAUCUUGGAUCCCGAUAAAAAUCACAAAACUAGAAUGCUUAGACUCUCACGAGUUCAUACAUAUCAAAUACAUCAAAAUCCGACCACAAAUGGCCCCUCAAAUCCUCAAAUUCCAAGCCCUAACCCUCGAAUUUUAAGCUUUGGAUUCCAUAAAUUUCAUGUUAAAUUAGGUAGAAAUCACAAUAGGAUUAAGUAUUAAGUCCAUAAAUCUUACCUCCAAGUGUUUUCCAUUAAUUUCCUCUUCAAUAUCCCUCAAGAAGCUCCAAAACCGAGUAAAAAAUGGUGAACUAUGGCCAAAAAUCACGAAAGUGGCCUUUAAAACAUUAUGCCCAGUGAUUCGCAUUCCAUCUUCGCGAAUGCGGUCAAUGCCUCGCAUUCGUGAAGCACAAAAUCCGUUGACCACUAAAUCUUUCUUCGUGAAUGCGUGACUCCCAUCGUGAACGCGAGGCCAACCUUCCUGCCUCACACCAUAUCCCUUCGCGAACGUGAAGGCCAAAUGUCUGCAACACCAACAACAGUUUUUCUGCAACUUUUCCAACAAGAAUUUGAUCCGUUCAACUAUCCGAAACUCACCCGAGGCCCUCGGGACCUCAACCAAAUAUGCCAGCGUAUCCCAUAACCUCAUUCAAACUUGUUCCAACCUUUAGAAUGCUCAAAACAACAUCAAAAUACCAAAUUGACAUCAGAUUCAAGCCUAAGAAAUUCCAAAAACUUCCAAAUUCUGCUUUCGAUCAAAAUGUCUAGCAAACCUCGUCCGAAUGACCUGAAAUUUUGUACACACGUCAUAAAUGACACAACAGAUCUACUUCAACUUCCGAAAUUCCAUUACGACCCCUGUACCAAAAUCUCACCUAUAGACCGGAAAAUGCCAAAAUUCCAAUUUCUCCAAUUCAAGCCUAAGUCUACUCCGGACCUCCAAAACACAUUCAGAUCAGGCUCCUAAAUCCCAAAUCAACUCUCGAAGCUAUCCGAUUGGAAUUCACAUCUGAGCCCUUUUUCAUACAAGUCAACAUCCGAUUGACUUGUCCAACCUAAGCUUACUCAAAAGAGACUAAGUGUCUCAGUCCUUUCCAACACCUCUCCGAACCCGAACCAACCCGAUAACACAUAAUACAGCUAAACCCGACAAUAAGAAGUAGAAGUGGGGAAAACGGAGCGGUAACUCAUGAAACGACCGGCCGGGUCAUUACAAUACCCCUAUAGUCUAUUCAGUCCCAGUAGCUUAUAUGGAAAGAGCAUUGUUACAGAUUGAUUUGAGCUUGGUUCGAGGUAAAUGGCUUGCCUAACCUUGUGUGGGGGAACUCCCCUAAGAAUUUGGUACUAUUUUUGAUAUUUGAGCAUCGUGUACGUAAGGUGACGAGUACGUACAUAGGCUAAUUGUUGUAAAAUUCCAAUUUUUGCUAAGUAAUAACUUGUGUCCUUCUUAUUUGAGUUAUAUCAGCAUGUGUAGUACUUGGUUAGAUUAGAAUACCCUGUCUACUUGCCUUAAUUAUUUAGCUGAACUCCGUGCAGCAUGUUUAGUGAAUAUCUUAUUUUUCCUUGACUUUUACUUAGCCUUAUUGUAGUUAUUUCCAGUUUUAGCUGUCAAUUCUAUUGUUUAAGUUGUGUAUUUACUUUUGGGACUACAAAAUGAUAUUUUGGGAGAUCCCACUGCCUAUUCACUUUUUCGCAAAUAUUAGGCUUACCUAGUUGUAGAGACUACGUGUCAUCACGACGUUAUAUGGAGGGAAAUUGGGUCAUGACAGAAAUGGAUGUUCAGGAGGCAAAAAUGCCCGAUGACCCAUGUAGCACAUCUUACGACUAUGCUUGAGAUAUUGAGAGCAUUUGCUACAAUUAUAAGUGGGGCAUGCAAAUUUUCUUUGUUCUCCAUCCAGAUAGCAUUGCUAGUGCAAAAAAAUCACUAAUAGUCCACAUUAACGUUGCACGCAUUUGAAACAUCUAGUUGGAUUCGACAUCAAAUGUUUCUACACUGAAUUCCCAUAGUUCCUUCAAUUCAGCAAUUAGUAGUUAUAGAUACACGUCUAUAUCAUUUCCUAGAGAUGAAGGACCUGGGAUGAUCAUUGAUAACAAUAUAUACUCUGGCUUCAUACAAAUUCAAGGCGAUAGAUUAUAGUUCAUUAACAUAACAGGCCACGUGCUAUGGGAAAUGCUCAUUGUUCGAAACGGGUUGAAACCAUCACUUGAAAGACCCAAUCUAAUAUUGCGAGGGUCGCUAGAGAACUCAGGGUGCAAGGAGUUGAAUUCCUUCCAAGAAUCACCAUCAGCAGGAUGUCUUAUAUUUCCAUCAUUCAAUCGUUCAGUGGCAUGCCAUCUCAUAGCUACAGCUAUUUCGGGACACAUGAAUAUCCUCUGAAGCUAAGGCUUUAAUGGAAAGUACCUUCAAACCUUUGCAGGGGUUUUAGGCUUUUUAUUAGUCAAGAUAUUAACAACAUUCUUCCAUCUAGAAGACCCACACAGAACAAGUAUCUAUAUUUAGAUUUUCAUUCCAAAAUAAUAUGCAAUCAUUAGGACAUGCAUGCAUUUUUUCAUAAUGAAGACCCAAAUAUAUUAUCAUGCUUGUUUCCUUGUAGAAAGACUCGGGUAGCUGAACAAAUGGAAUGCCUGUUUUAACAAUUCCAACAAGUCUAUAAAUGCCACAUUACUCAUCCCAUGAGUGCAUUUAAACAAGUUCAACCGAAUCAUAAAACCUAAUUUGGAGAAAUUAUCACACCCUGGAUGUAAUUCUUCUUUCCCCUUUUCUACUCAUUUAAAGAAUUUUUUGCAUCUUCCAAUGGUCCAUCCCUCACUCCAUUAUGUCUCAAAUCAUCCUCGACAUUUCGAAAUGUAUCAUGAAGUAAUCCAUCAAUAUCGUCACACAUGUCAAAACCUUCAUCAUUACUGCUUGGGCAUGGAGUCAUUCUCGAGGAGAAUCCUUCCCUAUCGAAAAUUCAUUUGUUGUAUCCAUGAAUAAAAUCAUUAACAAUCAAGUGAUCUUCCACCAUAUUCUUAUGAUACCAAAAACAAUUAGCGCACUCUUUACAAAGGUAUAAUAUUUGAUUUGCUUGGGAAGCUCGUUCAAAUGUUUUAUCAAGAAAUUUAUUCACUCCUUGUAUGUACUCAUCAGUUGACCUUCGAAGGUCCAUCCACCUUUUAACUCCAUUAUCCAUUAAAUUAGUUUUAUCCUAUAUGACACCAAAACAACUAGUAUAAAAAUUAUUUAUAUACUCUUAAUAAAAAGAAUCAGAUAAUAAGAAAGAUACAGAAAAGCCACUUAUUGUCAAAAUUAUAUGGAUUUCAUUGUUGUAAAAUUUAACAGUCACCAAAACCAUCACAUAAAUAGCUACGUAAGGCAAAUCUCAUGGUUUCAUAUAACACUAAAUCUCGUGGUAAUUUUUUUUAAUAAAUAUUUUAUUUUAGCAAAUUGUUCCCAUAAAUAACCCUCUGUAAGUCCAUCAACUAACAUUAUUUUGGUGGGAGGCCAUUUUUAAUAUGAACCAAGAAUUGGCCUCCCAGACGGCCAAAAGGAGCUUUUCAUUGUUUUACACUCGUUAAAAAUAAUGGGGUUAAAGUUUUUCUAAACUAUAUAAGAAAUGCCAAAAACUAGUGUAUCACUAGUUAUAUUUUUAUAACAUUGAGAUGAAGUUGUGAUUUUUCAGCAAUAUUACCACCAAAAAAAGCAUCGAAAUGAUUUUUCAGAAUAACGAACAAGAUGGCGAAUAUCUAACAUCAAACAGAAAUCACAAUGGGUUUAUCUUUGUUUCUGACACAAAAACAAAAUGAAAUCACAAAAUGUAUAAUUCAAACAACAAACAAAAGUAAAAUUAUUAGUUUAUCGGCAAUAUUACAAAAGAAAAAAAGAAGGAACAUCGAAACGAUUUUCCAGAAUAACAAACAAGACAACCAACAUCGAACAUCGAUAACAAACAUCGAACAACGGAAAUAUCAUGAUUUCUAAUACGAAUUAAAAAUUCACCAACAAAACCCCCAAUUUUAAAAAUUAGAAAUCAUAAAAAUUAUCAUAUAAAACAGACAAAGAACAUAAGUAAAAUGAUGGGUGUAUGAGAAAUAUUACCAGAGAAAGAAAACCGGCAAAGUAGCAAAACAAUUUUUUAGCGAAGCAAUUUUCAGCGAACCAUCGAAAUUCUAUAUAAACACCAAACAGGGAGAAACACUGACAGCCAACAUUGGAUUUUGUCUUUCAUUAGCCGAAGUGGAUGUCCUUCGCCAGAAUCAGUCUUCCUUCACCGGAAUCGGUCUUCCUUGGUCGAAGUAGGCAGUAGAUUUUGGUCGAUUUUUUAUUCUAGGUUAAAGUUUAAAAGAGGGGUGAGUUUCUAACGAGAGAGACGGAAGAUUUCAUAGGAGUGUGUCUUUUAAAAUGUAA
Molecule: long non-coding RNA, 6633 nt
Filed under: Nicotiana tabacum (common tobacco)
Lineage: Eukaryota; Viridiplantae; Streptophyta; Magnoliopsida; Solanales; Solanaceae
Description: long non-coding RNA (NTAB_LNC017666)
Source: RNAcentral